CAGUAGCCACGGUAAUACGGAGGGGGCUAGCGUUGUUCGGAAUUACUGGGCGUAAAGCGCACGUAGGCGGCUUGGUAAGUUAGAGGUGAAAGCCUGGAGCUCAACUCCAGAAUUGCCUUCAAGACUGCCGAGCUAGCAGGUGAGAGAGGUAAGUGGAAUUCCGAGUGUAGAGGUGAAAUUCGUAGAUAUUCGGAAGAACACCAGUGGCGAAGGCGGCUUACUGGCUCAUACUGGACGCUGAGGUGCGAAAGCGUGGGGAGCAAACAGGAUUAGAUACCCCUGUAGUCCCUGUCUCUUAUAC
Molecule: ribosomal RNA, 301 nt
Filed under: uncultured bacterium
Lineage: Bacteria
Description: partial 16S ribosomal RNA
Rfam family: Bacterial small subunit ribosomal RNA
Source: RNAcentral